GAUGAACGCUGGCGGCGUGCCUAAUACAUGCAAGUCGAGCGAACAGACGAUGAGCUUGCUCCUCUGACGGUGGCGGGGGACGGGUGGGUAACACGUGGAUAACCUACCUCUAAUACUGGGAUAACUUCGUGAAACCGGAUCUAAUACUAGAUAAUAUAUUGUACCGCAUGGAUCAAUAGUGCAAGGCGGUUUUCCUGUCACUUAUAGCUGGAUCCGCGCCGCAUUAGUUACGUGGUAAGGUAACGGCCUACCAAGGCGACGAUGCGGAGCCGGCCUGAGAGGGUGAUCCGCCCCACUGGAACUGAGACACGGUCCAGACUCCUACGGGAGGCAGCAGUGGGGAAUAUUGGACAAUGGGCGCAAGCCUGAUCCAGCCAGACCGCGUUGGUGAAGAAGGCCUUCGGGUUGUAAAGACCUUUUGUUGGGAAAGAAAAGAAGCAGGUUAAUACCCCGCUGUUCUGACGGUACCCAAAUAAUAAGCACCGGCUAACUUCGUG
Molecule: ribosomal RNA, 497 nt
Filed under: uncultured bacterium
Lineage: Bacteria
Description: partial 16S ribosomal RNA
Rfam family: Bacterial small subunit ribosomal RNA
Source: RNAcentral